RNAcentral lists this ribosomal RNA (2058 nucleotides) under Klebsiella pneumoniae. Its description in RNAcentral is "partial 23S ribosomal RNA". It matches the Rfam family "Bacterial large subunit ribosomal RNA", at positions 890 to 2925 of the family's 2925-position model. The record is from RNAcentral. Lineage: Bacteria; Pseudomonadati; Pseudomonadota; Gammaproteobacteria; Enterobacterales; Enterobacteriaceae.
UCAUCUUCGGGGGUAGAGCACUGUUUCGGCUAGGGGGUCAUCCCGACUUACCAACCCGAUGCAAACUACGAAUACCGAAGAAUGUUAUCACGGGAGACACACGGCGGGUGCUAACGUCCGUCGUGAAGAGGGAAACAACCCAGACCGCCAGCUAAGGUCCCAAAGUCAUGGUUAAGUGGGAAACGAUGUGGGAAGGCACAGACAGCCAGGAUGUUGGCUUAGAAGCAGCCAUCAUUUAAAGAAAGCGUAAUAGCUCACUGGUCGAGUCGGCCUGCGCGGAAGAUGUAACGGGGCUAAACCAUGCACCGAAGCUGCGGCAGCGACACUAUGUGUUGUUGGGUAGGGGAGCGUUCUGUAAGCCUGCGAAGGUGACCUGUGAGGGUUGCUGGAGGUAUCAGAAGUGCGAAUGCUGACAUAAGUAACGAUAAAGCGGGUGAAAAGCCCGCUCGCCGGAAGACCAAGGGUUCCUGUCCAACGUUAAUCGGGGCAGGGUGAGUCGACCCCUAAGGCGAGGCCGAAAGGCGUAGUCGAUGGGAAACAGGUUAAUAUUCCUGUACUUGGUGUUACUGCGAAGGGGGGACGGAGAAGGCUAUGUUAGCCGGGCGACGGUUGUCCCGGUUUAAGCAUGUAGGCUGGUUAUCCAGGCAAAUCCGGAUAAUCAAGGCUGAGGUGUGAUGACGAGGCACUACGGUGCUGAAGUAACAAAUGCCCUGCUUCCAGGAAAAGCCUCUAAGCAUCAGGUAACAUCAAAUCGUACCCCAAACCGACACAGGUGGUCAGGUAGAGAAUACCAAGGCGCUUGAGAGAACUCGGGUGAAGGAACUAGGCAAAAUGGUGCCGUAACUUCGGGAGAAGGCACGCUGGUGUGUAGGUGAAGUCCCUGCGGAUGGAGCUGAGACCAGUCGAAGAUACCAGCUGGCUGCAACUGUUUAUUAAAAACACAGCACUGUGCAAACACGAAAGUGGACGUAUACGGUGUGACGCCUGCCCGGUGCCGGAAGGUUAAUUGAUGGGGUUAUCCGUAAGGAGAAGCUCUUGAUCGAAGCCCCGGUAAACGGCGGCCGUAACUAUAACGGUCCUAAGGUAGCGAAAUUCCUUGUCGGGUAAGUUCCGACCUGCACGAAUGGCGUAAUGAUGGCCAGGCUGUCUCCACCCGAGACUCAGUGAAAUUGAACUCGCUGUGAAGAUGCAGUGUACCCGCGGCAAGACGGAAAGACCCCGUGAACCUUUACUAUAGCUUGACACUGAACAUUGAGCCUUGAUGUGUAGGAUAGGUGGGAGGCUUUGAAGCGUGGACGCCAGUCUGCGUGGAGCCAACCUUGAAAUACCACCCUUUAAUGUUUGAUGUUCUAACGUUGGCCCCUUACCGGGGUUGCGGACAGUGUCUGGUGGGUAGUUUGACUGGGGCGGUCUCCUCCCAAAGCGUAACGGAGGAGCACGAAGGUUAGCUAAUCCUGGUCGGACAUCAGGAGGUUAGUGCAAUGGCAUAAGCUAGCUUGACUGCGAGCGUGACGGCGCGAGCAGGUGCGAAAGCAGGUCAUAGUGAUCCGGUGGUUCUGAAUGGAAGGGCCAUCGCUCAACGGAUAAAAGGUACUCCGGGGAUAACAGGCUGAUACCGCCCAAGAGUUCAUAUCGACGGCGGUGUUUGGCACCUCGAUGUCGGCUCAUCACAUCCUGGGGCUGAAGUAGGUCCCAAGGGUAUGGCUGUUCGCCAUUUAAAGUGGUACGCGAGCUGGGUUUAGAACGUCGUGAGACAGUUCGGUCCCUAUCUGCCGUGGGCGCUGGAGAAUUGAGGGGGGCUGCUCCUAGUACGAGAGGACCGGAGUGGACGCAUCACUGGUGUUCGGGUUGUCAUGCCAAUGGCACUGCCCGGUAGCUAAAUGCGGAAGAGAUAAGUGCUGAAAGCAUCUAAGCACGAAACUUGCCCCGAGAUGAGUUCUCCCUGAGACUUUAAGUCUCCUGAAGGAACGUUGAAGACGACGACGUUGAUAGGCCGGGUGUGUAAGCGCAGCGAUGCGUUGAGCUAACCGGUACUAAUGAACCGUGAGGCUUAACCUU